CCUACGGGCGACAGCAGUGAGGAAUAUUGGUCAAUGGCCGGAAGGCUGAACCAGCCAUGCCGCGUGAAGGUCAGUGCCCUAUGGGCGUUAAACUUCUUUUGUGCGGGAGCAAUAAUGGUCACGUGUGGCCAGACGAGAGUACCGUACGAAUAAGCAUCGGCUAACUCCGUGCCAGCAGCCGCGGUAAUACGGGGGAUGCAAGCGUUAUCCGGAUUUAUUGGGUUUAAAGGGUGCGUAGGCUGUGAGGUAAGUCAGCGGUGAAAUGCCCCCGCUCAACGGGGUGAAGUGCCAUUGAUACUGCCUGGCUGGAAUGCGGAUGCCGUGGGAGGAAUGGGUGGUGUAGCGGUGAAAUGCAUAGAUAUCACACAGAACACCGAUUGCGAAGGCAUCUCACGAAUCCGCGAUUGACGCUGAUGCACGAAAGCGUGGGUAUCAAACAGGAUUAGAUACCCUUGUAGUC
This 460-nucleotide ribosomal RNA is filed under the name uncultured bacterium. Its description in RNAcentral is "partial 16S ribosomal RNA". It matches the Rfam family "Bacterial small subunit ribosomal RNA", at positions 338 to 795 of the family's 1533-position model. The record is from RNAcentral.